Molecule: ribosomal RNA, 484 nt
Filed under: uncultured bacterium
Lineage: Bacteria
Description: partial 16S ribosomal RNA
Rfam family: Bacterial small subunit ribosomal RNA
Source: RNAcentral
AUUGAACGCUGGCGGCAGGCCUAACACAUGCAAGUCGAGCGGAUGAAGGGAGCUUGCUCCUGGAUUCAGCGGCGGACGGGUGAGUAAUGCCUAGGAAUCUGCCUGGUAGUGGGGGAUAACGUCCGGAAACGGGCGCUAAUACCGCAUACGUCCUGAGGGUGAAAGUGGGGGAUCUUCGGACCUUACGCUAUCAGAUGAGCCUAGGUCGGAUUAGCUAGUUGGUGGGGUAAAGGCCUACCAAGGCGACGAUCCGUAACUGGUCUGAGAGGAUGAUCAGUCACACUGGAACUGAGACACGGUCCAGACUCCUACGGGAGGCAGCAGUGGGGAAUAUUGGACAAUGGGCGAAAGCCUGAUCCAGCCAUGCCGCGUGUGUGAAGAAGGUCUUCGGAUUGUAAAGCACUUUAAGUUGGGAGGAAGGGCAGUAAGUUAAUACCUUGCUGUUUUGACGUUACCAACAGAAUAAGCACCGGCUAACUUCGUG